This 341-nucleotide long non-coding RNA is filed under the name Phoenix dactylifera (date palm). RNAcentral describes it as "long non-coding RNA (PDAC_LNC018419)". Lineage: Eukaryota; Viridiplantae; Streptophyta; Magnoliopsida; Arecales; Arecaceae. The record is from RNAcentral.
UGUGCAAACCUACACUCGAUGAGAUUGUUCUCAUUUUAUUAUUGGAGCCUAAACUCUUUUUCAUAUAAACUCUUUGUUUGUGAUCCAAAGAAGAGAUCCUUGAUGUAUGUGAUCCUCUAGCUUAGCCUAGAGAAGAUACUUUGUAAGCCCAUUAUUGUUGAUAGUGGAGGUUUGUGGUGGACUUAGGUCCGGUGGUUUUUUUCCCUCAUAUUGGAGGGUUUUCCACCUAAAAAUUCUUGUCUCUUUCUUGUGGUUUGAUUUUUGGUGGUUCUUACAUUGAUUAAUUAUUGUGGUAUUCUCAUUCUACUCACACAAAGAUAGGAAAGUUUUCAUCUAGUGAA